GCAGGUAACAAAUACACAUUUAGCAUGGCAAAUACAAAUAGGCACACCCAACUAGAGCACAAGCAAGUAAUUCAAGUAAUAUGCAUAUGAUGCAUGCCUGUCCUAUGGCUGAUGAGGCUCAUCUGUCGGUUAACCAGCCAACCCGACAAGUCUGAAUUGUCCUUAGACUGUCCCCCGACGUGCAUCCCCAAGAGUCUAUGCAUAGAUUUUUCUCAAAUAAUCAAUAUUGCUCAAUGGGGGUAACAUUCCCGGGAAUUUAUAUAGUGCCCGGUCACACUUACGUCGUAGGGUCAACAGAGUAUCGAGUUUUCAACCUGGUACACGUGGUGGCAAGCCACGGCACUUAAUCCAGGGAAUCUCGUAUCUCAAAUUAUUCAAAUUCAUAAGCCAUAUAAAUAAUUCAAUUAUAAUUCCUCAAUAUCCACAUCAUUCUGGAUAGUCCUUUCGCAUAUCUGAUUCGAGUUCCCAGGUAUGUUCCUCGAUACCAGCUCGACUCCAAGCUACUUUUACCAAUGAUACUUCCCUUCCCCGUAAUCGUUUAACACUGGUGUCAUCAAUUCUUACUGGGGCUAUUGGAAGUGUUAGAUCUUCUCUCACUUGGAUUGGUUCUGGUUCUAGAACAUGACUUGCAUCAGGAGUAUACUUCCGAAGCUGUGAUACAUGAAAUACAUCGUGCAAAUUCGAAAGGUACGGCGGUAAGGCAAUUCUAUAAGCCACUGGUCCAAUUCUCUUCAGAAUCUCAAACGGUCCAAUAUAACGGGGAUUUAGUUUCUUGGUCUUAAUAGCUCUUCCCACGCCAGUGGUUGGUGUAACUCUCAGCAAGACAUGUUCUCCCUCUUCGAAUUCCAAAGGCUUUCGCCUCUGAUCAGCAUAGCUCUUCUGGCGGCUUUGGGCUAUAAGCAUUCGACUACGAAUCUUCUUUAUCUGCUCAGUCGUUUCAGCUAUCAUUUCAGGCCCUAAUAAACUCCUUUCUUCAGUUUCAUACCAACACAACGGAGACUGACAUUUUCUGCCAUACAGAGCUUCAUAUGGAGCCAUUCCGAUGCUCGCAUGGUAGCUAUUAUUAUAAGCAAAUUCCACUAAUGGCAUAUAUCGAUCCCAGCUCGCCGGCUGGUCCAAAACACAAGCCCUUAGCAUAUCCUCCAAGGUCUGAAUAGUUCUCUCUGACUGACCAUCUGUCUGAGGGUGAUAUGCAGUACUCAAACUUAACUGAGUCCCGAAUGCACGCUGAAAAGCUCCCCAGAACCUUGAUGUGAAACGAGGAUCCCUAUCAGAUAUAAUGGUAGAAGGCACGCCAUGCAACCUGACAAUCUCUUUAAUAUACAUUCGAGCCAAUUCUUCCAUUGUGCAACUUAUUCGGAUAGGAAGAAAGUGAGCUGAUUUUGUUAAUCGAUCCACAACCACCCAAAUAGCGUCACAACCAGAUCGGAUCCAUUAGAUCAUCGAUUCUAGGCAACGGAUAUUUAUUCUUCACAGUGAUCUUAUUCAAUUGCCGAUAAUCGACACACAGCCGCAUACUCCCAUCCUUCUUCUUUACCAGUAACACUGGCGCUCCCCACGGAGAAACACUUGGUCGGAUAAAAUGCUUACCCAACAGAUCUUCCAGCUGAGCUUUCAGUUCAGCCAUUUCUAAAGGCGACAUCCUAUAAGGAGUAAUUGAAAUUGGACCGGAUCCAGGUACCAACUCAAUUGCAAAUUCAACCUCUCGGUUAGGUGGGAAUUCAUUAAUAUCAUCCGGAAACACAUCUGGAAAUUCACAUACAACCGGAAUUUGCUCUAAACUCUGAUCAUCACCUGAUACUCCCGCAGUUAAUAACAUAAUACCCUGACAUUCGGUUCCAGAACAGUUUACUAUCAUAGAGUUCAAAUAGUAACUAUUCACCACAACCGGUGCUUCUGACCCUUCUAGCGUAAACUGUACUGACUUCUCAGAACAAUCAAGCAAAACAUGAUUCUUGGAUAACCAAUCCAAUCCCAAAAUGAGAUCAAGACCAGUCAUAGGCAAACAAAUCAAAUCAUGCACAAAUUCACGCUGUUGUAUUCGAAAGGGAACUUGUGGACAUUUUAUCCUAGUCACCAUAGCUUCAUGAGUAGCAUUAUAUACUUUCAAAUCAUAACCUAAGACCACCAUUCUCAAUCUUAAUUCAUGGGCCUUUUCAAAUGCAAUAAAUGAAUGACUUGCUCCUGAAUCAAAUAAAGCAUUUAAGAUUUUACCAGCCAUUUCACAAUUACCUCUAAUAAGUGUCUCAGAUCCCUCAGCACCAAUGGUAGAAGUAGUGUAUACUCUCUCCGGCUGUUGCACCCUACCAGUCUCAUACUUCUUCUUCUCAGGGCAAUUACUGGCUAUAUGCCCGGGCUGUCCACAGGAAUAGCACACUCCAAGUCCUAAUCUACACGGAACCCAGGAUGAUAUUUUCCACACUUCUGACAAUUCAGAUCCUGCUGUGGCUGCUUUCCAAACCUUUUUCCUUGAUUAGCAGUAAUAUUCGGCCUUCUAUAAUUACCCUGACCCUGAGUCUGCUGCGGAACAAAGCCUCCACGCUUGAAAUUCCUACCUCUCGGAGCAAAGUUCCUCUCUGAAGGCCUCUGAAAAGGCAUCCUCAAACUCCCUGGGUCAACAGAGUAUCGAGUUUUCAACCUGGUACACGUGGUGGCAAGCCACGGCACUUAAUCCAGGGAAUCUCGUAUCUCAUAUUAUUCAAAUUCAUAAGCCAUAUAAAUAAUUCAAUUAUAAUUCCUCAACAUCCACAUCAUUCUCAAUUGCAUCUUAUUCAUCAUCAUACAUUAAACAUAUUCAAUCCUUAUCCUUCAUUAUCACACCUCCCAUUCCGUCCAUAAAUAGUUUUAAUUCAAAACAUAAUUCAUUCUUUUUUAAGAAUCAAACUUCAAACUUAAAACAUACUCACUUUCUUAAUAACUCAAAAUCAAACCAUAUAACAUUUAAAUCUAAAUCUCUUUUAAAUAAUCAUCUAAACAAAAUCUCUAAUUUUUAUAAAAUUUCGGCAGCAUCUCCUCUAAAACUCGGACUUUGCCACCCUGUUNN
This 3043-nucleotide long non-coding RNA is filed under the name Arachis ipaensis. RNAcentral describes it as "long non-coding RNA (AIPA_LNC000407)". Lineage: Eukaryota; Viridiplantae; Streptophyta; Magnoliopsida; Fabales; Fabaceae. The record is from RNAcentral.